RNAcentral lists this ribosomal RNA (1337 nucleotides) under Eristalinus sepulchralis. RNAcentral's name for it is "16S ribosomal RNA". The record is from RNAcentral. Lineage: Eukaryota; Metazoa; Arthropoda; Insecta; Diptera; Syrphidae.
UUAAUUUUUAUUUAUUAAUUUUUUUUUAAAAAAGUUUUAUUUAUUAAAAAUAAUUAUAAAAUUUAAAAGUUUUAGUAUUUUAUAAAGAAAAAAUAAUUUUAAUAAUAGUUUAUUAGUAUUGUGAAAUAAAAUUGAAAUAUAAUGAAAAAUUUUUAUUAUAAAAGAAAAUUUAAUUUAUUGUAUCUUGUGUAUCAGAGUAUAUUAAAUAAAAAAUAUUUAUAUAUUUUUCUCGAUUUUAAAAGAUUUAAUAAAUUAUGAAUGUUAAUGUGAUAAAAUUAUAUUUAAUAAUUUAUUAGAAAUGAAAUGUUAUUCGUUUUUAAAGGUAUCUAGUUUUUUAAGAAAUAAAUUUAAUUUAAUAUACAAAAUUUACUAAUUUAUUUAUUUUAAUGAAGUAAUUUUUGUAGAUUAAUAUUUUAUGGGAUAAGCUAUAAAAUAAAUUUUUAUAAAUAAUAAAUAAUAUUUAAAAUUUUAUAUGUUUAAAAGUAUCAAUUUUUAUUAAGUUUGUUAUAAAUUAAUUUUUUAUAUAAAUUAUUUAUUUUAUUUUAAUUUUUUAUUAAAAUAUUUAUUUUAAUGUUAAAAAUAAAUUAAUAAUGAUAUAAUUAGUAUAUUAAAAUUGUAUAAUUAUAAUUAAAAAUGAAAAGUUUAUGUAAAGAAUUCGGCAAAAAUAAUGUUCGCCUGUUUAACAAAAACAUGUCUUUUAGUAUUUAAUUUAAAGUCUGACCUGCCCACUGAAUUUUUUUAAAUGGCCGCAGUAUAUUAACUGUGCAAAGGUAGCAUAAUCAUUAGUCUUUUAAUUGAAGGCUGGAAUGAAUGGUUGGACGAAAUAUUAACUGUUUCAUUUGAAUUUAUAAUAGAAUUUUAUUUUUUAGUUAAAAAGCUAAAAUAUAUUUAAAAGACGAGAAGACCCUAUGAAUCUUUAUAUAUAUAAUAUUUUAAUUUUGUAGAUUUUUUAAAUUAUAAUAUUAUUAAUAUAUUUUAUUGGGGUGAUAUUAAAAUUUAAAAAACUUUUAAAAUUUAAAUCAUUGAUUUAUGAAUAAAUGAUCCAUUUUUAAUGAUUAAAAAUUUAAGUUACUCUAGGGAUAACAGCGUAAUUUUUUUGGAGAGUUCAUAUCGAUAAAAAAGAUUGCGACCUCGAUGUUGGAUUAAGAAAUAGUUUUAGGUGUAGCCGUUUAAAUUUAAAGUCUGUUCGACUUUUAGAAUCUUACAUGAUCUGAGUUCAAACCGGCGUAAGCCAGGUUGGUUUCUAUCUUUAAUAAAUUAAUAUAUUUUAGUACGAAAGGAUUGAAUAUAUAAAUAAUAAUAUUUUAUAAAUAAGAAUAUAAUUAAUUUUUUAAAAA